Non-coding RNA from Elaeis guineensis (African oil palm), 1785 nucleotides. The record is from RefSeq and is a predicted model, not a curated record. Lineage: Eukaryota; Viridiplantae; Streptophyta; Magnoliopsida; Arecales; Arecaceae.
CUCCUUCCUCUCUCUCUCUCUCUCGCAACAAUGGCGACAACCGCUGCUGAAGCGGUCGCAGACGAAAAGUCGAACACCUUUUCGGCAACGGUCGAAGCCGCCGUCGCCGCCGGGCCUGCCGCCUCGCCGUCGACCUCUCGCCUCCUCUCCUCCUAUCUCGGCGUCAGCUUCGCUGUCUUCUUGGGGUUCCUCCCGAGGGCCUCCCUGUCGUACCUUCCUUCUCUCCAGUCGCGCAACCGUAUCCUCGCCCUGAAGCUCUUCCAGGCCGAGGACCAGCUCCGCCAGCUCCGCUCUCGCCGCCGUGAGGACGCCAAGGCCAACGCCCGCGUCGCCGAGAUCUUCGCCGGUCACCGCCACGCCUGGCAUCAGGAGGAGCGCCGCCUCGUCCACCAGCUCUCCACCGCCGCCGCCGACAUUGCCGCCCUCAAAGCCCACAUCUCCGACCUCGAGAAGACCGAAGCCAACCUCAGAUCCUCCAUUGGGAAGCUCGAGAAAGAGGUGAGCGAGAGGGACGAGAUGCUGGAUUUCAUGGCGAGGAAGGCGGAAGGAGGAGGGCACUUCACGGAGGAGGAGAAGGAUUUGAGUUUGGAGGAGGAGGAGGAGUUGUGCGCGGAUUUCUCGGCGAUGGGAGGGAAGGUUAGGGUUUCGGAGGAGGGGUUGGAUCCUGUGGUGCCGGAGGGUUCUUUCUUGGAGAGGAACUCAGAGUUGGAUCAGAUGGUGUCGGUCUAUGCGCGGCAGAACGGUUUGGGCCGGGAUUUCUUGCCUCCGCCGGCGGCGGGGGCGGCUUGGAAGCUGUGGACGGAUAGAUCGGCCGGAUGGGAGGAUAUGCAGAAUGAUUGCCUUGAUUCCAUGUACCAUAUGAAGCCUUUUGUACCAAGGAGGGAGUCACCUUGGAAAGUAGAUGGUGAAUCAGCAGGAGUUUCUUCUAAGCUUAAAUUUCUGGAACAAGAACUAAGCAAUUUGGAGAAAGUUGGGAAGGGUGAUUUGUCCAAGAUCUCAUCAUUGAUGAGGAAGCAAGCAAAGAGAUACCAAUCUCUUGCUGGUAAAAUUGAUGAUUUAUGCAGGAGAAUGCAAGUUAGUGACCCUUGUGAUCCAAAUCUCAGCCCAGAGUUCCGAACUCAACGACAGACUGAAUUUUUGCUUGAGGCAUUUCAUCUUCAAAAUCGGGCUACAGAAAUAAGACAGAAGCUGAGCACACUGCAAACUGAGACAACCAAAAGCAAUUUGGGAGAUGAGCUAACAGCACAGGCCAAGUUGAGCACAAGAAGAUCUUUGGAUUUAGUUAGAAACAACUUUAAGGAAAUACAGAGGAAUUUGGAGAUUUGGUUGGCUCGAAUUAUGGGUGAUUUGGAGGGCAUUUUGGCCAGGGACAGUGCAUCACGUGUGAAGGAUUACUGCAUAUCUCCAUACCCUUUUGUCCAAUGAUAGCACAAUUAUUACUAUCUUCUUGGUUGUUCUACUUGUUCGAUCUUAUGUAGUCUGCUGGAUGUACUUCACUUGUGCAGGUUAAUGGAAAAAUUUAGGGGAACAGAUUGCUGAGUAAGCCAAAGAAAGGUGACGAAUAAGGGAAGUCAAGGAACUGGCAGGCAGUGCUGUCAUUUUAAAGACAUGCCUUGGAUGGAAAGUAUUUAUGCGGUGCUUGCAAUAUUUUAGCUUUUAUGGCCUUUGUAUCUCCAGGCAUAUGUCCUACAUUCACCUGCCUCUGCAAAUCACCACCCAAUUCAAUUUUUGCACUGAUCUGCAUUGAAGGUUGUCUCCCAUAUGUUGUACCCAUCGACUUAUAAG